GGAGAGGUGUCAGAGUGGCCGAAUGAGCUGGUUUCGAAAACCAGUGUGCACGCGAGUGUACCGGGGGUUCGAAUCCCCCCCUCUCCGCCA
This 90-nucleotide transfer RNA is filed under the name Planctomycetota bacterium. RNAcentral's name for it is "Planctomycetes bacterium (activated sludge metagenome) tRNA-Ser". It matches the Rfam family "tRNA". Rfam says of the family: Transfer RNA (tRNA) molecules are approximately 80 nucleotides in length. Their secondary structure includes four short double-helical elements and three loops (D, anti-codon, and T loops). Lineage: Bacteria; Pseudomonadati; Planctomycetota. The record is from RNAcentral.